GACAAGGCAUCGCUAUGCAGUGCACUAACUAAAUAUAUUUCUCUAUAUUUUUUCGUCUAUUUAUUACUAAUUACUACUUAUUAUCGGCUUGUAUUUCUUAAAUGAUCUGUGUAAUUUUGUGCUGGUCCCAGUAAUUAAGUCAACUGCAUUCUCUUUGAUCCUUUUUCAAAAAAUAUAAUUUUUUACAAAAUAUUAAUCAGUGUGGAAGACAAUUUUAUCAGCUAUGUCGUGUCCUCUAAAGACUGUCCUUCCUUUGUAAUUGACAUGUACAUACGAAUUAGGUUCCCGCUGCAAGUCCCCUUGUGCAACUGUGUGGAUAUUGCUUUUGCCAUUCGUUUGUGCUAAGUUGUUUUGUACUUCCCUUUUUAAACGACUAAGUUCUGUGUAUCUUCCCUACCGCCUACUCACAUUAGAUUUUCAUAUAUGGUUAAUAUAGCGGUUGCCAAAUUAUUGUCAGUGUGAAAGUCGGAGACCGUGCUCCAAGGCUCGUCCCUGAAAUACUUUUUUCUACUCCAUUUGCAAUUUUGUGUUAGUUAUCCCAAGUUCAUCCCUAUUGGCUUCGUCUUAUAAAACUAAAAAGAAAUAUUAUUAUUUUUUCACCUAAUUUUUAUCGUGGUUAUAGAAAGUGCACAUCGGCUUAAGUUUCACGGUAUUGUAUAUUGUUGAAAAUGACAUAAAUUGGGUGUAAACCUUACUUUGUCAUAGUUAUAUCGUUGAUCAGUUUGUAUUGUAAAGUUUAGCACUCCCUGUUAUAAUUGGUCAGGUUAUCCCAGGCAUGUGAUUUAUCUCUGUGUAGGUUCUUAAUUUUACCUUGAAGAAUGAGAUGAGCAUAAUCAAACAAUAUUAAUGUUUUAUAGAUUUCCCCACUGUUAUUUAUUUGUGUCUAUAAAUUAUUCCGUUUCUAAAGAAGAAGAAAAGAAACUGAUGUUUCUGUUGCAUGUGGUUUUCAGACAGGGAACAAUGUUCUUUUCAAGAUGCAUGUAUCAUGUAUGCUCAGUAACUUUGAUCUAACAAAUUAUAUUGUGCACUAAAGGUAUCUGCAUUUAUUUAUUAUUUGCAAGAUCUGGCACCUACAUUAUUAAUAUGCUGAAACACAAUAUUUGUAUUCUGAAUUUCAAACAUUCGAGCACAUUCAAAUUAUAUUACAUAUAGUGACUAUAAAACUCCAUAGGUUGUUAAUUGGAUUAUUGCAAUGAUUUGAGGUAGCUCAAACUUCCUGGAUAUCGAAGGGAUUUCUACUACAGGAGGUUCAAUCGAACAAAGAAAGAGCCUGCUGGAGAUGCAAAAUUAAUUCUCCCUGGAGUGGAACAGUUUUAUAUAAUUAUAGCAUGAUUGUCCUCACGAAAAUAUGGAUUUCCAUAGUAUAAAGGUCAAGGAAUGUGUCAAUGGAGUGCUGCCGUCAUCCUGGUCGCAGUGGAUCCCAUGCCGCCCGAGACGGAUCAUGUGGCACUACCAUCCUGAGCGCACUGCAUGUGGAAAUCAAAUAGAAGACCCAAUUUAUUGUAUACGUCAAGCUCAGGCGAGCUGCUGCUGAUUCUCCCUUCUCCUAUCAGUGCCUGCAUGAAAGAUGAACUUAAUUGUUUGAAACGUAAAGAAUCAUUUCUGGCCGGCCAGAGGCCAUGAUGGACCCACACGGUGAUGGAGGGGAGGCCAUGGGCGAGCGUUUGAGUGGGCCCACAAGAAGCUGCAGGGCGAUGGAAGGGCAGUGGCCGAGGAUGGAAGCAGCGUGGGAGAUGGAGGAUUUACUCCACACCUUCAUUUCGUCCGCAUCGAGCUGUCCCGCAAAGGAUUUAUAUUUUUAAAUGGAGGGAGGGAAUAGCAAUAAAAUUUCACACAACUCAACUAUGUCUAGAUGAUAGAUGCAAGUGGCAUCUUCUUGAUGUGGCUGAACAUGCUGAUGCGCUCCUAGAUGGUGUGCCUUAUACCUAGGAUCUUAUGUGAUGUGUGUCACAAUCUGUCAAAGAUGUGGCAGCCUGGCAGGUGCAGCUGACAAGAAAAACAACCCUUACACUGUACAAAUUUCAGCUUCACAUUAGGUAUACAUGCUGAAUUUGAGUCUAUGAUAAAUUGUCGCUGAGUCUGUAUUGUCUAUCAUCUGAUUGUUCCAAGUUGUGAUUUGGCGUUGAUUGUUGUGUGAUUUAGUUUUCAUGAAUGUUGCUUCCAGGUGCCACAAACCAUUGAUAUUUGUUUGCUUCAUAUUAUCUACAUAUCUGAGGAUUGUGUUCCUCACUUUUGUUGUGGUAUUGUACAUAUAAAUCAAGUGUAUGAUGCAAUGGUUGUAUAUGUGAGUGCUUUUGCUUCA
This is a long non-coding RNA of Lolium rigidum, 2302 nucleotides long. RefSeq lists it as uncharacterized. The transcript is spliced from 5 exons. The record is from RefSeq and is a predicted model, not a curated record. NCBI's taxonomy places the organism in Eukaryota, Viridiplantae, Streptophyta, Magnoliopsida, Poales, Poaceae.